This is a long non-coding RNA of Marmota monax (woodchuck), 489 nucleotides long. RefSeq lists it as uncharacterized. The record is from RefSeq and is a predicted model, not a curated record. The transcript is spliced from 3 exons. Lineage: Eukaryota; Metazoa; Chordata; Mammalia; Rodentia; Sciuridae.
CUUUCUUUCUUUCUCUCUUUCCAGGUCCUAGAUACUGGGGUCCCAAGCUGAAGAUAGCAACAAAAAGAAGGCUAAAUAGAGCCUCCUGGCUGCCAGGGCUUAACCAAAAAUCUGCAAACACACCAGCAUUAACUCAGGAGGUUGCAAAAUGCAAGGAGAGAAAAAGGUGAGAAACAGACGUCCCACGGUCCCGUCUUGGCAGAUGCAGACGGCAGCAGUCUCCAUCAAUUAAAAGGUCUGCAGUGAUCCCCCACUUGGCCCUACGUCUUCAUUACCUCAGCACCACAAUGACAUGUACGACCAGACCACACUGGCUAUGAUGUUCUGCUUAGCAGUGGGUUCAGAGCAAUGGAGUCUGCCGACCAUGAAGUCAACUGCUGAAACUGUGAGCCAAACUUUUCCUUCUCUAAAAUGUUCUUGUCAGGUAUUUUUUAAUAUAUAUAUUAAAAAUGUGUGUGUGUAUGUGUAUACACACACACAUACAUUUAU